CCUACGGGAGGCAGCAGUGGGGAAUAUUGCACAAUGGGGGAAACCCUGAUGCAGCGACGCCGCGUGAGUGAAGAAGUCCUUCGUGAUGUAAAGCUCUAUCAGCAGGGAAGAAAAUGACGGUACCUGAGUAAGAAGCCCCGGCUAACUACGUGCCAGCAGCCGCCGUAAUACGUAGGGGGCAAGCGUAAUCCGGAUGUACUGGGUGUAAAGGGAGCGUAGACGGGAGUGCAAGUCUGUAGUGAAAGGCGGAGGCUCAAACCCCAGACUGCUAGGGAAACUGUCAGGCUGGAGUGCAGGAGAGGUAAGUGGAAUGCCUAGUGUAGCGGUGAAAUGCGUAGAUAUUAGGAGGAACACCAGUGGCGAAGGCGGCUUACUGGACUGUAACUGACAUUGAGGCUCGAAAGCGUGGGGAGCAAACAGGAUUAGAUACCCCAGUAGUC
This 440-nucleotide ribosomal RNA is filed under the name uncultured bacterium. RNAcentral's name for it is "partial 16S ribosomal RNA". It matches the Rfam family "Bacterial small subunit ribosomal RNA", at positions 338 to 795 of the family's 1533-position model. The record is from RNAcentral.